CCUACGGGAGGCAGCAGUGGGGAAUAUUGCACAAUGGGCGCAAGCCUGAUGCAGCCAUGCCGCGUGUAUGAAGAAGGCCUUCGGGUUGUAAAGCUCUUUCGGAUGUGACGAUGAUGACGGUAGCAUCUAAAGAAGCCCCGGCUAACUUCGUGCCAGCAGCCGCGGUAAUACGAAGGGGGCAAGCGUUGUUCGGAAUUACUGGGCGUAAAGGGAGUGUAGGCGGUUUAGUAAGAUAGUGGUGAAAUCCCAGAGCUUAACUUUGGAAUUGCCAUUAUAACUAUUAGACUAGAAUUACAGAGAGGAUAGUGGAAUACCCAGUGUAGAGGUGAAAUUCGUAGAUAUUGGGUAGAACACCAGUGGCGAAGGCGACUAUCUGGCUGUACAUUGACGCUGAGGCUCGAAAGCAUGGGGAUCAAACAGGAUUAGAUACCCCAGUAGUC
Molecule: ribosomal RNA, 440 nt
Filed under: uncultured bacterium
Lineage: Bacteria
Description: partial 16S ribosomal RNA
Rfam family: Bacterial small subunit ribosomal RNA
Source: RNAcentral